UUUAAAUCAUUUAAUUAUGAUUCCGAUGUUUGAAAGUUAUAGCCGGCCAAACUAGCUGACUUGAGAACCGAUUAUGAAGUUAUGAAGUUUUGAGGAACACCUAUAGUAACAGUUAUAUCACUAUAGGCCCGGUAGUGACAGAUUUGAAUUAUUUUAAAUUUUUCAAUUUCUGGAAAAUUCGAAAAUGAUUAAAAAUAAAAUGUUUGAUAUUUACAGAUGUUGAGGUAUAGGAUAAGAGUCUUAGACUCAGUAUUUACCCGAUAAAGCUGUCGGUACGCCGACAAAUGUCAGACCCUAUAAUAGAAAGAAAAGGCUUCUGUAAGAGCAUGGAUGAGAUAUUUGAAAAAUGUAUAAAAAUAUUUCAAGUAUAGAAUAUGAACUAAAAGUAUGAUCACUGCGAUUAUGUGAUGACGUGAUUAGACUAUGUGCUGACUGUAAUAGACAGUACUAUGUGUUAUGAUAUAUUGUUCUAAUCGAACGAAUGAUCUGAUUAUUGAUAGGUUGUGAUAAAGAGAUAAAACCUAAGUUGAGAUUUGUAAUCAGCGAAUCAGGCAAGUAUCUUACCUUUGCAUUUCCUUUAUGCAAUGGACAUGAG
Molecule: long non-coding RNA, 595 nt
Filed under: Panax ginseng (ginseng)
Lineage: Eukaryota; Viridiplantae; Streptophyta; Magnoliopsida; Apiales; Araliaceae
Description: long non-coding RNA (PGIN_LNC013353)
Source: RNAcentral